Molecule: ribosomal RNA, 410 nt
Filed under: uncultured Methylomirabilota bacterium
Lineage: Bacteria; Methylomirabilota (SeqCode)
Description: bacterial SSU rRNA
Rfam family: Bacterial small subunit ribosomal RNA
Source: RNAcentral
AGCGUGGAGACAGGUGGUGCAUGGCUGUCGUCAGCUCGUGUCGUGAGAUGUUGGGUUAAGUCCCGCAGCGAGCGCAACCCUCACCCCUUGUUGCCAUCAGGUGAUGCUGGGCACUCUAGGGGAACUGCCCCGGUCAACGGGGAGGAAGGCGGGGAUGACGUCAAGUCAUCAUGCCCCUUACGUCCUGGGCUACACACGUGCUACAAUGGCCGGUACAAAGGGAUGCAAGACCGUGAGGUGGAGCUAAACCCAAAAAGCCGGUCUAAGUUCAGAUUGGAGUCUGCAACUCGACUCCAUGAAGGAGGAAUCGCUAGUAAUCGCGCAUCAGCACGGCGCGGUGAAUACGUUCCCGGGCCUUGUACACACCGCCCGUCACACCACGAAAGCCAGCUGUACUCGAAGUCGCUGAG